CAGUCGACGAAGAGGUUAGAAUGAGAGCUUCGGCAGGAUUUCUUUCCAUCUUAGUGGCGGACGGGUGAGUAACGUGUGGGCAACCUGCCCUGUACUGGGGAAUAAUCAUUGGAAACGAUGACUAAUACCGCAUGUGGUUCUCAGAAGGCAUCUUCUGAGGAAGAAAGGAUUUAUUCGGUACAGGAUGGGCCCGCAUCUGAUUAGCUAGUUGGUGAGAUAACAGCCCACCAAGGCGACGAUCAGUAGCCGACCUGAGAGGGUGAUCGGCCACAUUGGGACUGAGACACGGCCCAAACUCCUACGGGAGGCAGCAGUGGGGAAUAUUGCACAAUGGGCGAAAGCCUGAUGCAGCAACGCCGCGUGAAGGAUGAAGGGUUUCGGCUCGUAAACUUCUAUCAAUAGGGAAGAAACAAAUGACGGUACCUAAAUAAGAAGCCCCGGCUAACUACGUGCCAGCAGCCGCGGUAAUACGUAGGGGGCAAGCGUUAUCCGGAAUUACUGGGUGUAAAGGGAGCGUAGGCGGCAUGGUAAGCCAGAUGUGAAAGCCUUGGGCUUAACCCGAGGAUUGCAUUUGGAACUAUCAAGCUAGAGUACAGGAGAGGAAAGCGGAAUUCCUAGUGUAGCGGUGAAAUGCGUAGAUAUUAGGAA
Molecule: ribosomal RNA, 648 nt
Filed under: uncultured bacterium
Lineage: Bacteria
Description: bacterial SSU rRNA
Rfam family: Bacterial small subunit ribosomal RNA
Source: RNAcentral